Molecule: long non-coding RNA, 916 nt
Filed under: Homo sapiens (human)
Lineage: Eukaryota; Metazoa; Chordata; Mammalia; Primates; Hominidae
Description: HSALNT0344702
Source: RNAcentral
CUGAUGUCUGAUACAGCAGAUCAUCACUGGCUUUUGAUGGAAACAACGAUAUAUGUGAUGACCCUUUCUGGUAGGAAACGUUCAAGUACAUUUUGUCGAGUAGAUGUAAUGAAACUAUAAAUUAGUUUUUACUAAAUGAAGAAAGCAGGCAAGUUGGUGUUCGAGAACGUCCUUGCACGUUUCCAGUAAAUGUGGCACCCCGAGCCAUUCUGAAAGCUGCCCUCCCUAAAUGGGCGGUCUGUGUCUUUCUCCUUUUCUCCCCUUGCAAGAUCCUUGCAGGACAGGAGGGAGUCCAGGUCAAGGCAUAAUACUCACAUACACAGCUGGGCUUGUUGCCAGACCACUGAUUGUUCUGCUGACAGGUGAUAACUCUCUCCCCCACCAGCUCAAAGGCCGCCGGGCAUUCAAAGGCUGGGAGCCAUCAUGGCUGACUCACUAUGAUCUCAGGCUCCUGGGCUCAAGUGAUCUUUCGACCUCAGCCCCUGGAGUGGCUGGGACAACAGACAGCAAAUUUAACCAAGGUAAAUUUCAGCACCUUGAUUCACGUAUAUUGACAUUGAGGUGAAGAACUAUGACCUGUUAGAAUAAAACUGAUCAAAGAUGACCACAAAAGAUUUUAGUGUCUACCAUCUCUAAAAGGAACAUCACUUUUCAAAUCAAUUAAUGGAAAAGGAAGCUGGAGACUGUCCACCUGCUCUUUCCCUCAAUUGCCUCCUCUCCUCCUUCAAUGUCAUCUUAAGUGACUUCUCCUUAUUAAACACCAGGACAGAUGAAGAUACAAGGCAAUAUAAUUUUUUAUUUAUGUUUUUAUUUCUUGACACUGCCACUUUCAAGGUGAGAUGCCAUAAUUAACUUUUUAAAAACUUGUCAACUUACUUUAUUUUUCUUACAUUACAAACCACUAAGUCAAAUUAUU